Regulatory RNA element from Vibrio genomosp. F10, 177 nucleotides. It matches the Rfam family "Lysine riboswitch aptamer". Rfam says of the family: Riboswitches are metabolite binding domains within certain messenger RNAs that serve as precision sensors for their corresponding targets. Allosteric rearrangement of mRNA structure is mediated by ligand binding, and this results in modulation of gene expression. This family includes riboswitches that sense lysine in a number of genes involved in lysine metabolism, including lysC. The record is from Rfam. Lineage: Bacteria; Pseudomonadati; Pseudomonadota; Gammaproteobacteria; Vibrionales; Vibrionaceae.
UUAUGCAGAAGAGGAGCACUGCCCAGGCAGAUAUAUGGUGGAACCUUAAUUCCAAUACAAUAUAUCAAUGGGGAGCAGUGCCGAGGUAAACGUAAUGUAAGGGUUAUGUUUAUCGGUUAAGUGGGCUGAAUCCCCUUAACUGUCACUAGCACCGCCUAGUGAUGAGCUUCUGAGGUC